Alosa sapidissima (American shad) is the source of this 98-nucleotide long non-coding RNA. RefSeq lists it as uncharacterized. The transcript is spliced from 3 exons. The record is from RefSeq and is a predicted model, not a curated record. NCBI's taxonomy places the organism in Eukaryota, Metazoa, Chordata, Actinopteri, Clupeiformes, Clupeidae.
UAUGUACUUGAAUUCAUGUUAUUAAUUUAGCAAGCCAUUAAUGUUGACUUGUCAAACUCUUUGCCCUGACAAAGACAAAGUGGACAAUCUUAAAACUC